AUUCAACAGACACUGGAAUGAAAUGACUGUCAUACAUGUAGAGAUGUUGAUUUCAGGAAAACUUGCAGUGGUCUCUUAUUUUCUUCCAGAGCUAUGGAUGUGAGAGCAAUUUAGAGAGCAAUUCUUCUAUUUUACAAUUUUUCCUCUGUGUCCUCAGUUAAAGAAACUUUAAAGUCUCUCAGGCCACUUUUAGAUGGAAACGGUCUCCAUAGAAAACUGAAAAGUGCUGUUUCGUUUUCAGUUUUUGUGGUGUGUUUACACAAAAACGCAAUGUGGUUGAAAACGCUGUAAUGUGCAUACCAGGUCGCUAGGUGGCGCGUGUUGGUGUGACCGCGCUCCCAUACAGACCAACAAUGCAUACGUAGAACAACUUUCAAAGACGUCCCCUCGUUCCCCUCCGUCGACCAAUUGGCACAUUAAUUAUUUGAUCCAAAUAAUUCAGACGCCUCCUCUGCUGAGCAGUAUGAUCCAUGAGGAUUCUGUACAGGUUGAAAUUGAGCUCCUACCCGUUCAGUAACGACAGCGCAUGUCUAGCAUGGUUGUUGUUGUUAUUUUCAAGGAAGCUGCGCAUGGCUAUGAUGUCAUAAGCGUGAGCCAACGUGAGCCAGGACGUCGAAGGUUUGACUGUUUUUCACUUUAUGUUUUCAUCUCCUGAAAAUGCAGUUGCCGUCUAAACGGACCCCCCUAAAUGAAACUAAAUUUUUCCGUUUUCUAUGCUGAGACCGUUUCUGUCUAAAAGUGGCCU
Non-coding RNA from Xyrichtys novacula (pearly razorfish), 745 nucleotides. Lineage: Eukaryota; Metazoa; Chordata; Actinopteri; Labriformes; Labridae. The record is from the annotation of a GenBank genome assembly.